RNAcentral lists this long non-coding RNA (757 nucleotides) under Manacus vitellinus (golden-collared manakin). RNAcentral's name for it is "lncRNA (ENSMVIG00005000062.1)". The record is from RNAcentral. Lineage: Eukaryota; Metazoa; Chordata; Aves; Passeriformes; Pipridae.
AAACAAUCGAGUAGAAUGCGGCGGGGGCGCCUCGGGAGCUGCGUCUUGGCUCCGAGUCCGCAGCCGUGCGGGGAGAAAAGCUUUUCCCGAACGUGCUGUGGCGCUCGCACGGGAAAUUGCCUUCAGCCAGAGGAUUACUGGAUGUUUCAAUCUGCUGAAAAGAAGGGGCUGUCCCUGAACCAAUGAAACAAUAAGAAGGAAGGGAGAGUGACAAGCUGUGGGGCAAUCUUUGCUCUCAGGGCCCGGGCACUUUCCUUUCACUGGUUCAGCAGAGAUCAACAAGAAGAGGCUGAGUCUGAGAAGUUAACCAUGCAUGGUUCAAGCCACCUGGCAAUGAGCUCUGCAGGCAUAGGAGGCAACCUUUCUGCCUUUAUCAUGAACCUGAGAGCAGUAUAACCAUCUGGCUGGUUAUAAUUUAACAGAAACCCCAUUUUUUAUCUUGCUAUGGUGGUGUGCUUUCUUUUAAAUGUCACCUGUAGAGUUUCCCAAUGAGUGGAGAAGUUUUGCUUUGUAUUUCUUACAGAUACUGACAAAAACUAGUCCACUGGAUUACCAUAAACCUAGCCAUAUUCUUUCUUAGAGGCAUGAGCAAGCUGAAAAGAGUUUGCAGUAACUUUUAUACUUUAAUCAAAAUAUUUUUCAGUAUAUAUUUGUCAUUUUUAACCAGUAGACUCAUUGACUGGUUAUUUUAUUAAUGUUGAAAUCUUACAAUUUUAGAGGAGUUAUUAAGCAAAUAAAUUAAUCUUCAGCUUUCCCA